RNAcentral lists this unclassified non-coding RNA (253 nucleotides) under uncultured Pseudobdellovibrionaceae bacterium. Its description in RNAcentral is "uncultured Bdellovibrionaceae bacterium contains 16S-23S intergenic spacer region". It matches the Rfam family "Bacterial small subunit ribosomal RNA", at positions 524 to 776 of the family's 1533-position model. Lineage: Bacteria; Pseudomonadati; Bdellovibrionota; Bdellovibrionia; Bdellovibrionales; Pseudobdellovibrionaceae. The record is from RNAcentral.
UACGAGGGGUCCUAGCGUUGUUCGGAAUUAUUGGGCGUAAAGCGGGUGCAGGCGGCUAGGUCAGUCAGAAGUGAAAGCCCUGGGCUCAACCCAGGAAGUGCUUUUGAUACUGCUUAGCUUGAGUGUGGGAGAGGUCGCUGGAAUUCCUGGUGUAGUGGUGAAAUACGUAGAUAUCAGGAGGAACACCGGUGGGGAAGCCGGGUGACUGGCCCAACACUGACGCUCAGACCCGAAAGCGUGGGGAGCAAACAGG